Molecule: long non-coding RNA, 1874 nt
Organism: Oncorhynchus tshawytscha (Chinook salmon)
Lineage: Eukaryota; Metazoa; Chordata; Actinopteri; Salmoniformes; Salmonidae
Exons: 2
Source: RefSeq, a predicted model, not a curated record
AUACUCCCUGUCCUUUUAUUGUUAGCUAGCAGUCUCAAGCCACAGAAGUAGCUAACAUUAACUUAAAUGUUAGCUACAGGUAGGCCUAACGGUGCAUGGACACUAGAUAAGAGAUAAAUUGCCGCGUGUCGCUCAGGUCGCACAUUGUGACUCGCUUGUGGGCGUGCUGGCAGCAUGUGGCAGCAUGUUCGAUUGUGCGUCAAGAAUUCAGCAUAGCAAGUUUGUAUGAACGUCUGGUUAUUAAAUGGGUACAUAGUUCAAUAGUAAUAUCCUCUAAAACGCUCCAGUGACAAACUAACUUUGCUGCCCUGUUUCAAAUUAUCUACAUGACUGGGAGAACCUAUUCAAGUAAAGUAAAUACAUUUCAAAAAUAUACCUUGUAACUGGAGAAUCCUUCAAAACGAUUGCCUACAGUUAAUAUAUAGGGCACUGCAAGGUUGGGUGACCUGGGACUGCCUCCUGGGGGAAUUCAGGUGUGUGAAGGCUACCUGUGUCCUGCAUUACUUGAUAAGGAUGGACACGAGGACCAGGAGGGGAUGUGCAGCUUGCCGCCGUGUGCCAGAGUAGAAGUCUGCUGCUCUGUGAGAUGUUUCAAGGAUGGGGUCUAACAACGCAGCAAGAGGGGAGAUCUUCACCUCCUACUUCUUCGAAGAUGUUGCUGUUCCCUGGUAACACCAUUGACUACACUAUGCACAACCAAAGGCUCUUUUAAGAGCCAUUGACAUUGCAAUAAGAGUAUUCUUCCAUUUACUUAACGAUGUCAACAGCAGUUAUUCAAUUCCCAGUUUCUCUCCCCUUGAUUUCAACUUCUCAGAUGAGGGUGCUGUUUAGCCACGGGUGUGAUGUCUGUACAGAAACAAAACAGGCUAUUUUAAAUCACCCAUAUUGAUUUUUUUUUUUUAACAAUUAGAUACGCUAUAACCCACACACUCAUGUAUCAAUAUGAUUGUUGGAUUGUGUUGUGCAGUAAGCAGGCUUAGGUGUAUAACUGUGGCUCCUUCCACCUUCAAAAAAUAGGCAAGAGGGCCAACCAUGGAGAAUAGUAAGAUACUUCAUUAUUUCUAUAACUACUCUAUUGUUUGUCCUCGUGUGUCCGUUCAUGUUUUUCUGCAUAAAGUACUCUGCAGCCACUUAGUGUGGUGUGGACACCAGGAGAGGCCGCACAGAGCUUCCUUUUGAACACAGUCACUUUAACUACCUUAUUUUUCAAUAACAGUCUCGUUCAAUUCAUCCCUCUCUCUUCUCCCUAAAUCCUCUAGGUUAUAUCAGCUGUGUCAGUGAACCCCUCCCACAUCUGAACUGGCUACAUAGAGGGCACAGCAUGAUCAGAGGUUAGAGGUCACUUGGUCAGGUCAACAUUAAGUAUUAUUAAAGAGAUGCUUUACAUUGAAAUAGAGAUAAAGUAGUCCCAGAGUUAAUGAUCCAAGGUCAGUUUUGCAUUUCACUUCCUGAUUGAUGACUAACAACGUUAGAAUAAAAAUAAGGCUUAAACAUGCUCUCUCUCCAUCUGUCUCUUGUCUGCAGAUAUGUUUUGAUGUGAGAGGGGAUGCCAACCCCCAGUCCUAUCAUCGCCACCUCACCUGCUUUUAAGAUAACCUUUGGGCUGUCGAGUGAUACUUAUGUAAUUGUGAUGAACUAAGAAUAUUUAGGUAGCACUGUGAUUCAUUAAUCAUAUGCUGCCUUCCCUGCUCCUAUGUUUUACCUCUUUCCCUUUUACACCUCUCCCACCACCUCUUUCUUUAUAAUGCACAACAGAUGUGCAUUGAAGUACAGAUUGAACUUGAAUUUAUAACAUUAACAUUAUAAUAUUUAUAAUGCAUGUAUUUAUAACACUUGGAUAAUGAGAUUCUCAAUAAAGCAUUUUACAUUCUCUA